CCUCGGCAGGGCUGGCUCCUCGCCUCUCCACGCCAGGCUGUUCACGUCCCUUCCGUUCCCAAGUGCUUGUGUGCUCACUCACUUGCACCGUCCUGCAGUGGCCCACGAGGCAGGCCAGCGUGUGUAUUAGGGAGCGCUCCCUGGGAAUGUGACUUUCCCAAGGUCACCUGGAUAGGCUGUCUCCUCCUCUGAGGUCCCCACCUCCAAACCCCACUUUCCCCACAUGUGGCCUGAACAGACCAUCACAAAGCUUUAGAGGCUUCUUCCGAGGACACCAGGCAUUGGCUCUGGGUCAGUGGAGCUUCCAGAACCUUGGAAUUCUGCCCUGGGCCACGUGUCUGGAACUUGCCCAUCUCCUGGUGGUUGGCAGAUCUGAUGCAGGCCUGAGAACGUCUUCACACGGUGGAGGAGGCUUUUGGGGUGACUGACCACUGGGCUGGACAUUGCCCCAGGUGUGGUUCCCGUGGAAGUGGUGAGUCACAGCCGUGGUUGCUGGCCUGCUGCUGUACCCAUCUGCCUGUCUGCAGGCGUCUCACUUCCUCCUGAGAUGGAGAGAGACAAGGGCCCUGGGUGCUGGGGCACCAGCUGCUUCGGCCCUGCCUGGUUACUUCAUCUUCCUCAACUCACUUUGCUGUUCACCACCCAUCACCGUUACCACCUGGAAUCACCCGGAGAAGAGUGGAAGGAAACGUGAAAAGUAUGUGUGUCAUCACGUCAGGCUCUGGGGCUGCCCAGGUCUGCCAAGGAGUCCGAAAUUCCACCUCUCACUCCUUUAAGAAACCGUACUACACAAAGCCUCCACUGAAACACAGUAUGUCACCCUGACGAGCUGGUUAUUAGCCCAUUAACUCCCGGAACACACUGGCUCAGAGCAGCCUGGUGGCCACCUGUCUGCGGAUCAGUUGCCCGGAGAGGGAAGAAGGGAAGGAUUGUGUGUG
Molecule: long non-coding RNA, 938 nt
Filed under: Equus caballus (horse)
Lineage: Eukaryota; Metazoa; Chordata; Mammalia; Perissodactyla; Equidae
Description: lncRNA (ENSECAG00000057319.1)
Source: RNAcentral